UGGGUGUUGGUUGCUAUGGAUCUUUCGAGACUAAUAGUGUAUUAUCUCGAUUCUUUAUCGGGUGAUUGGACGAAAUAUCCGAAUAUGAAGAAGACGGUUGACGCGGCAAUACUAAAAUUUAGAUUGAAAAAGAAAUACCGCAAUAGGAAGGACAUUACCUGGAUCAGAGUUCAGUGUCCUCAGCAAAAUAAUUCGGUCGAUUGCGGAUUUUUUGUAAUGAGAUUUAUGAGAGACAUCAUUGCGUUGAAUCGUAUAGACAUCCCAAAA
Long non-coding RNA from Lathyrus oleraceus (garden pea), 267 nucleotides. RefSeq lists it as uncharacterized. The transcript has 3 exons. The record is from RefSeq and is a predicted model, not a curated record. NCBI's taxonomy places the organism in Eukaryota, Viridiplantae, Streptophyta, Magnoliopsida, Fabales, Fabaceae.